Molecule: long non-coding RNA, 4201 nt
Organism: Haemorhous mexicanus (house finch)
Lineage: Eukaryota; Metazoa; Chordata; Aves; Passeriformes; Fringillidae
Exons: 2
Source: RefSeq, a predicted model, not a curated record
AUAUCCCUGUCUGUUGAGUUGAUCUCUUACAAUGAAGACGUUUUCUAGCCCGUCCAUUUCAACAGAACACGGUUAGAGAGUGUUUGCACUGCAGGUUCAUCAGCAGGGCUGGUGAGGGUGGUCCUGGCAAGCGAGAGUGGUGCCAGGCAGGGAUGAGAACCAGCCCAAGCCUCCUCAGCCCUUGGGUAUGCUGGAGGUCUUGCUUUGGCUGGCUUGUGCUGGCUUGCUCGGGUUUAUGAGUCCCAGGUGCAAGGUGAAGCUUCAGAUAUUUUCAGGCCACCAUAAAAUGUGGUGGAGCCACCCUAAAAUGUGCCAUGCUCUGCAUUCAGUAUCUGCCUCCAAAUCAGACUGGAGAACCAACAUUUGGGGACAGGGUUUAGGAGUGAUUAUGGUGGUGCUGGGUUGACAGUCGUUCAAAUGAUCCUGAGUGUCUCUCCAACCUUGAUGAUGCUGUGUUUCUCUGACUAUGUGGUUAUCUAGGAAAAGCAAGCCAAGGCUUUGUGUUGCCUUUGCAGACAUCAUCUCACAGCAGUUGUAUUUUCCUCUAGGUCUCUUGUGAUCUUUGCACAGCUCCAAAGUCUCCAUCCUCAUUGUGUCUGCACUCACCAAAGCAAUUUUUGAGGGCCUUCACUGUGUGGCCAAAUGGCUCAUUUUUAUUGUUUAAACUAAUGGAUUUUGUGGGCAGUAGGCAAGCUGCUGUUCAAGUGCCUCCAGGCAGCGUGCAUGAAAACAGCCUAAUGACACAUAAGAACAGCAGGACAACACCGAACCCAAGACCUAGGAGGACCUGAAGCAACACGAGAAAGAACAUUAAAAUCCACCAACUUUAGCUGCUGUGAGGAGGGGACCAACACCAGAAAUUCAACAGAUUUCCCACAUGCUUUGCUCUGGGCUGCUGCGUGAACUCCUCUUCCCCUUCCCUGAGACAAAAGCGACCAGGUGCCAUUUUGUUCUCCAGGCCACGUGGUCAGUCCGAGCAAUUUUCUUCCCUGGGCAUUUUUUGGGAUUUUUUUGUUCUGAUGUGGGGAUAUGUGGGUGGGUUGGUGGGUGGAGAGUAAGUUCUGGGAGUUCAUAUCUAGCAUUUAUUCAGUCCUUUUCUGUGCAUUGUGGGCACAUGCCCCUCGCACCCCCUCCCCCCUUUUUUUUUUGUCAAUAAACUUCUUUGCUUUUUUUUUUUUUCACUUUCAUCCACUGGUAUCAAUUUCUCUCAUUGGUAGAAGAAAAGGGAGGGAGUUAUUGAAGCUCUUUUCACUUUUGAGGAAAUGCUCAUUUCUCCAGAAAUUUGUCUCCAAAACCAAGACAUUUGGUGUUUUAAAAUGCUGCUAAUUAAUAAAUAAAUGAAAGAGAGACAGAGGAAGAAAACUAGCUGGAGCAGGGCAACACACCUCAGCAGGGGCUGACCAGCACCUGCAGGAAGCAGAUACUUGAAAUAGCUGUGACAUUGCUGCUGUUCCAAAACAGGUUGUAGUAAUUAUGGUUAUUUUGAGUCCUGCACCACGUCCAUCUAACUGUAUUUAACACUACUUUAGGCUGUAGCUCUGGGGUGUGUUUCAAGCACAGGAUCUUUUUCCAUUUAAUUAGGAUGAGAGGGCUUGGAAGAAACAGGCAAAAUCCUAUUUACCCCAUAUGUUGUUCCUCUAAGAGGGGUUUAUGAAGAAAGGUCUGCAUCCCUCCAGCUACUGCACAGAGACGAGAGCAAAGUCAAGCUAUGGCCAGCAGCAGUCCCUGCCUGGAAGGCAACUGAGCUCUGGAGUCUUAAUUUGACUUUUAGAGUCCCUUGAGAAGGAAAAAACCCCAAACCUGUGAUAAAUAUACUACAGUGCUGGCUUUCACAAUUGUUAGAGUGAGUACUAUGUGUUUUAUAAUGCUGACUUUUCUAAGAGAAGUUUGACUAAAGUUUAGAGUUUUUUAAUGUGAAUGUUACAUUAUAAUACCAAUGUUGGUGAAGAGUUGUUGAAACGUUAACAUUUAACCAAUGAAGGACUCAAAACCUGUUGAAUGAAUGGAAAAGUAACAAAUGACCACGGCUAAGGCCACUGCACACGCUCCAAAACGGCAGGACAGAGGAGGAACCAUGUUAAAGUGUUUGAAUAUAAAUGACCAUUUAGGAAUAUGCAGUUGGCUGAUGCAGUGCCCAGAGUGUAUAAGGGGUGCUGCUGUGUUCAGCACUGUGCCUCUGGCUGCGGCUAAGCACUCAGCACUGUUCUCUUUCCUUUAUUGACUUUGUCCCCUGUUGUCCCUUAUUAAAUUUUCUUUCAAUUUUAACACAGUGGGUUUCGUUUCUCACUACUGGAGGUUUGUCCAGGAUGGACACCCUGUCUGUGUGGCCCUGGGAGAUUUUGAGCUAGAGGCAUGCCCUGCCAGUUUCGGUGGCUCCAUCGGCUUCUUCUGGCAUCAUUGGUGUCCUAGGGUGACGUUAUGAUGCUUGUAUCCCCAGUCAUCUAUUCUGUUUAUGCUGGAUAUUAUGUUCUGUGCCUUCAAGACUGCCUCUGAAGAGCGAAUUAUUUGUUUUGUUUUGUUUUGUUAUCAGCCUCUCCCCCAUGGCUGACAGGACACAGAGCCGGGGCAGUACAUAGUGCGGCUUUUGCUUUUUGCUUGGCUUUUCACUUUGCUCCUGCUUCUGCUUUGCUCCUGCUUUGUUCUUGCUUUUUGCUUCUGCUCAUUAGUUAGUUUAGCUAUGCUGUCCAAAUUUUUCCCUGGACUGUUUUAUUUUUUUCUUUCCCUUUUUUGGACCUACUCGAGCCUGCUCCGGACUGGGACCUGGGAACACCGAGAGUUUGCACCCAGUGGCUGCAGCAGCUGCCCCAGUGCCGGAGGGACUGAUAACAGAGCAACCAUUCCCAGAGAGACUUUCUGAAUCUGUCAUCUUUUUCACAGUGGUGAACGAGUGCUGUCAUCUGGUAUUGUUGAUUUUGUGAGCUGGGGGGUGCUGUGCCUGUUAAAUAAACAGGUUCUUUCCACUUCUCUCCGAGGAAUUCUUCCCAAACUGGUUGUGGGGAGGGGCCGUGUGAGUUUGCUUUCUGGAGGGGCCCCUUUAGGAGGUUUUCUCCCAAAUUUGCCCUAAACCAGAAUAGCCAGCCACAUAGGACAAGAUGGAAGUUGGGGACACUGAACCCCAAUUUAUAUGCUAAAUUGUAUUAUAAGACUCCAAGCAGGUGUAGAAAUAAUAACUAACAAACCUGCCUUAGCCCUGGAAUUAAUAUCAAACCAACAAAGGCAAACAAGAGAUGCAGUGUAUCAGAAUAGGCUGGCUUUAGACUACUUAUUAGCAGAAGAAGGGGGUGUCUGUAGAAAAUUUAAUACAUCUGACUGCUGCUUGAAAAUAGAUGAUAAAGGGGAUAUCAGAAAAAUAGCCCAUGUCCCAGUACAGAAAUGGGAAUUGAUACUAAAAGCCAGUCGGUGGGAAAAUUUUUUGGCAAUGGAAUGGUGGAAAAAGCUAAGCCUCUCUCUCUUAUGUGCAGCAGCUGGUUUAUUAUUUUUCCUUGUCUGAUUCCCUGUUAUAUUUGGCUAAUCACCAGUGUAAUCCAGGGUAUGCCAGUAGUGGCAAUGCCAAUGGACCUGAAAUUUGCUAUUUCUGGAAUGGCAUAAAAUAUAAUGGUAUUAAAGAUAAAAGACAAAACAAAGGAUCCCUUCAAAGAAGCUGAAUUGAUUUAUGAAAAAUGUGAGUGUAUCACCAACAUUAAAAAUAGGAAUUAUUGCUCAAGCCAAAUGACUUAUGAAAAGGAAGAGGAGAAAUUGUGAUAAAUAUACUACAGUAUUGGCUUUCACAAUUGUUAGAGUGAGUACUAUGUGUUUUAUAAUGCUGACUUUUCUAAGAGAAGUUUUGCUAAAAUUUAGAGUUCUUUUAAUGUGAAUGUUGUAUUGUAAUACCAAUGUUGGUGAAGAGUUGUUGUAAUGUUAACAUUUAACCAAUGAAGGACUCAAAACCUGUUGAAUGAAUGGAAAAGUAACAAAUGACCACGGCUAAGGCCACUGCACACGCUCCAAAACAGCAGGACAGAGGAGGAACCAUGUUAAAGUGUUUGAAUAUAUAUGACCAUUUAGGAAUAUGCAGUUGGCUGAUGCAGUGCCCAGGGUGUAUAGGGGGUGUUGCUGUGUUCAGCAGUGUGCCUCUGGCUGCGGCUAAGCACCCAGCACUGUUCUCUUUCCUUUAUUGACUUUGUCCCCUGUUGUCCCUUAUUAAAUUUUCUUUCAAUUUUAA